UUAAGCUAAGAAGAGCGUAGGGAGAAUGCCUUGGCAUUAGGAGCCGACGAAGGACGUGAUAAGCUGCGAUAAGCUGCGGGGAUCAGCAAGUAUGAAUUGAUCCGCAGAUUUCCGAAUGGAGCAAUCCGUAUGUGUAUGCACAUACAUCAUAUACUGAAUCAAAUAGGUAUAUGAGGGGAACCGCCUGAACUGAAACAUCUAAGUAGGGCGAGGAAGAGAAAUCAACCGAGAUUCUGUGAGUAGUGGCGAGCGAAAGCGGAAGAGGCUAAACCAUAGGUAGCAAUACUUAUGGGGUUUCGGACAGCAUUUAGCAUUGAUAAUUUCUAGUUGAAACGUGUGGGAAAACGUACCGAAGAGUGUGAGAGUCACGUAAGCGAAAGAGAGAAUCAGCGAGCUGUAUCCAAAGUACCGCGGGACACGUGAAACCCCGUGGGAAGAUGGGGGGACCAUCCUCCAAGCCUAAAUACUACCUAAUGACCGAUAGCGAAUAGUACUGUGAAGGAACGGUGAAAAGAACCCCGGGAGGGGAGUGAAAAAGAACCUGAAACCCUAUGCUUACAAGCACCGAGAGCACGUCAAAGUGUGAUCGGGUACCUUUUGUAGAAUGGUCCGGCGAGUUAUUGUAUGCGGCAAGGUUAAGUGCUUAAGGCACGGAGCCGAAGCGAGAGCAAGUCUGAACAGGGCGAGUAAGUCGUAUGCAAUAGACCCGAAACCGAGUGACCUAUCCAUGUCCAGGCUGAAGUGGAGGUAAAACUCCAUGGAGGGCCGAACACACGUCCGUUGAAAAGGCCGGUGAUGAGGUGUGGAUAGCGGAGAAAUUCCAAUCGAACUCGGAUAUAGCUGGUUCUCUCCGAAAUAGCUUUAGGGCUAGCCUCGUGAAAGAUUACUGGAGGUAAAGCACUGAAUGGGCUAGGGGUCGAAAGAUUACUGAACCCUAUCAAACUAAGAAUGCCAGAUAAUUGAUUCACGGGAGUCAGACAAUGUGAGAUAAGUCUCAUUGUCAAAAGGGAAACAGCCCAGACCCACAGCUAAGGUCCCUAAACAUUGUUAAGUGGAAAAGGAUGUGGGGUUGCAUAAACAACCAGGAUGUUGGCUUAGAAGCAGCCACUCAUUAAAAGAGUGCGUAAUAGCUCACUGGUCGAGUGACCCUGCGCCGAAAAUUCAACGGGGCUAAACAAUGUACCGAAGCUUGGGAUUCUAAAGUAAUUUAGAGUGGUAGGAGAGCGUCGAAUAAGGGGUGAAGUCAGAGCGGAAGCGCUGGUGGACUUUAUUCGAGUGAGAAUGCCGGAAUGAGUAGCGAGAAUUAUGUGAGAAUCAUAAUGGCCGAAAAUCUAAGGUUUCCUGAGGAAGGUUCGUCCGCUCAGGGUAAGCCGGGGGCUAAGGCGAGGCGGAGACGCGUAGCCGAUGCACAUACGGUUGAAAUUCCGUAGCCACCGAAAGAUUUAAGUACAGGGACGCUUUAGAAGUGAUGUAGCCGGGCGAUGGUUGACCCGGUCGUAAGGGAUCGAAAAUGAGUAGAGAAGUCAUCAUGGAAAGAGACAAGAAAAGCUGUAUGAAUAUCUUAGGUGCCCGUACCGCAAACCGACACAGGUAGAUAGGAAGAAGAUUCUAAGGCCAACGGGAGAAGGGUUGUUAAGGAACUCGGCAAGUUGACCCCGUAACUUCGGAAUAAGGGGUGCUCAUGAAAGUGAGCCGCAGAGAAUAGGCCCAGGCGACUGUUUAGCAAAAACACAGGUCUCUGCUAAAUCGAAAGAUGACGUAUAGGGGCUGACACCUGCCCGGUGCCGGAAGGUUAAGAGGAGAUGUGAGAGCAUUGAAUUGAAGCCCCGGUAAACGGCGGCCGUAACUAUAACGGUCCUAAGGUAGCGAAAUUCCUUGUCAGGUAAG
RNAcentral lists this ribosomal RNA (1887 nucleotides) under human gut metagenome. RNAcentral's name for it is "bacterial LSU rRNA". It matches the Rfam family "Bacterial large subunit ribosomal RNA", at positions 3 to 1980 of the family's 2925-position model. The record is from RNAcentral.